GGGUCGGUAGCUCAGCGGUAGAGCACCGGACUUUUAAUCCGGGUGUCGAGGGUUCGAAUCCCUCCCGACUCACCA
Molecule: transfer RNA, 75 nt
Filed under: Chloroflexota bacterium
Lineage: Bacteria; Bacillati; Chloroflexota
Description: Chloroflexi bacterium (freshwater metagenome) tRNA-Lys
Rfam family: tRNA
About the family: Transfer RNA (tRNA) molecules are approximately 80 nucleotides in length. Their secondary structure includes four short double-helical elements and three loops (D, anti-codon, and T loops).
Source: RNAcentral